AUGCACGCUGGCGGCGUGCCUCAUCCCUGCCAGUCGAGCGAACAGACGAGGAGCUUGCUCCUCUGACGUUAGCGGCGGACGGGUGAGUAACACGUGGAUAACCUACCUAUAAGACUGGGAUAACUUCGGGAAACCGGAGCUAAUACCGGAUAAUAUAUUGAACCGCAUGGUUCAAUAGUGAAAGACGGUUUUGCUGUCACUUAUAGAUGGAUCCGCGCCGCAUUAGCUAGUUGGUAAGGUAACGGCUUACCAAGGCAACGAUGCGUAGCCGACCUGAGAGGGUGAUCGGCCACACUGGAACUGAGACACGGUCCAGACUCCUACGGGAGGCAGCAGUAGGGAAUCUUCCGCAAUGGGCGAAAGCCUGACGGAGCAACGCCGCGUGAGUGAUGAAGGUCUUCGGAUCGUAAAACUCUGUUAUUAGGGAAGAACAAAUGUGUAAGUAACUAUGCACGUCUUGACGGUACCUAAUCAGAAAGCCACGGCUAACUACGUG
Molecule: ribosomal RNA, 496 nt
Filed under: uncultured bacterium
Lineage: Bacteria
Description: partial 16S ribosomal RNA
Rfam family: Bacterial small subunit ribosomal RNA
Source: RNAcentral